Long non-coding RNA from Centruroides sculpturatus (bark scorpion), 598 nucleotides. RefSeq lists it as uncharacterized. The transcript has 3 exons. The record is from RefSeq and is a predicted model, not a curated record. Lineage: Eukaryota; Metazoa; Arthropoda; Arachnida; Scorpiones; Buthidae.
AUGAAUAUGUAUCUAUUAAUAGUUUUCCGAAUUUUAUUAACAUAUCUAACCUAUAAAUAGGAAUUUCCUAUAGAAAGUCCUUCCGGGAGGCAUCAUUUCUUGGCAGAUCACUGGUGUUGUGUCUCCUUACCCUCAUUAAUCUACUUCUAAUGUUAGAGUAUAUGGUACAAGUACGAAAGUUUUUAAAUUCCUAUUUAUGCUAAGAUCUCUUCUAAUUGCAUUUUAGUAUCUUAGAACAUCUAAUGCUGAUUAAUAUCGUGAUUUCCUGGACUUCAACUAAAGAUGAGCCCAUCAGUGAUCGAGUGAAUAACAUUAUUGAACACUAGUUACGAGUUUGCAUCUUACCAAUGGGAUUUUCCGAGAUUUCUUCACAUGUCUAAUACCUAAAUAGGAGCCAGUUUCUUAUAGAAAGUGCUCUCGAAAGGCACCUUCUCCUUAGCAGAAGCUUUUUAUUCUGUUAAUUUGGAGAUUCUGUACAUUUUGUUGAAGAAGCUGCGUCUGUCUCUAUGGAUCAUCGGAUGGACAUAGUAGAUCGCCAGAUAGAUCGAUCCUCGCCAUUCAAUUUUCGGACGACAUCAGUGGCACACUCAGAGAGAGC